UACGUAGGGUGCGAGCGUUAAUCGGAAUUACUGGGCGUAAAGCGUGCGCAGGCGGCUAUGCAAGACAGAUGUGAAAUCCCCGGGCUCAACCUGGGAACUGCAUUUGUGACUGCAUGGCUAGAGUACGGCAGAGGGGGAUGGAAUUCCGCGUGUAGCAGUGAAAUGCGUAGAUAUGCGGAGGAACACCGAUGGCGAAGGCAAUCCCCUGGGCCUGUACUGACGCUCAUGCGCGAAAGCGUGGGGAGCAAACAGG
RNAcentral lists this ribosomal RNA (253 nucleotides) under uncultured bacterium. RNAcentral's name for it is "partial 16S ribosomal RNA". It matches the Rfam family "Bacterial small subunit ribosomal RNA", at positions 524 to 776 of the family's 1533-position model. The record is from RNAcentral.